RNAcentral lists this transfer RNA (90 nucleotides) under Pseudomonas fluorescens. RNAcentral's name for it is "tRNA-Ser". Lineage: Bacteria; Pseudomonadati; Pseudomonadota; Gammaproteobacteria; Pseudomonadales; Pseudomonadaceae. The record is from RNAcentral.
GCUCGGCCUGGCCGACGCCAAGGCUUACGCACUGGAGCUGCGCGAUCAGGCGCUGCACGCGCUGCGACCGUUUGACGCGGCUGCCGAGCC